This 1020-nucleotide ribosomal RNA is filed under the name uncultured bacterium. RNAcentral's name for it is "bacterial SSU rRNA". It matches the Rfam family "Bacterial small subunit ribosomal RNA", at positions 338 to 1378 of the family's 1533-position model. The record is from RNAcentral.
CCUACGGGAGGCAGCAGUAAGGAAUAUUCCACAAUGGGCGAAAGCCUGAUGGAGCGACGCCGCGUGAGGGAUGAAGCUUUUCGGAGUGUAAACCUCUUUUCUUUGGGAUGACACCCCGGGUAACCGGGUACGACAGUACCAGAGGAAUAAGCAUCGGCUAACUACGUGCCAGCAGCCGCGGUAAUACGUAGGAUGCAAGCGUUGUCCGGAUUUACUGGGCGUAAAGCGCGCGCAGGUGGCAUGGCAAGUAAGGUGUGAAAUCUCCCUGCUCAACGGGGAGGGAGCGCUUUAGACUGCCAAGCUAGAGGACGGUAGAGGGGGGUGGAAUUGCUGGUGUAGCGGUGAAAUGCGUAGAGAUCAGCAGGAACACCCGUGGCGAAGGCGGCCCCCUGGGCCGUACCUGACGCUGAGGCGCGAAGGCUAGGGGAGCGAACGGGAUUAGAUACACCGGUAGUCCUAGCAGUAAACGAUGGCCACUAGGUGUGGGGGGUGUUGACCCCUUCCGUGCCGAAGCUAACGCAUUAAGUGGCCCGCCUGGGGAGUACGGUCGCAAGACUAAAACUCAAAGGAAUUGACGGGGACCCGCACAAGCAGCGGAGCGUGUGGUUUAAUUCGAUGUAACGCGAAGAACCUUACCAGGGCUUGACAUGCAAUCGCAACUCUGUGAAAGCAGAGCCUCCUUCGGGACGGUUGCACAGAUGCUGCAUGGCUGUCGUCAGCUCGUGUCGUGAGAUGUUGGGUUAAGUCCCGCAACGAGCGCAACCCCUGUCCUUAGUUGCAAAUCUAAAGAGACUGCCGGAAACAAACCGGAGGAAGCGGGGAUGAUGUCAAGUCAGCAUGGCUCUUACGUCCUGGGCUACACACACGCUACAUGGUCGCUACAGCGAGAAGCCAACCCGCGGGGGGUGAGCGGACCUCUGAAAGGCGGCCUCAGUUCAGAUUGCAGCUGCACCCGCCUGCAUGAAGUCGGAGUUGCUAGUAACCGCGUGUCAGCACAGCGCCGGGUGAAUACGUUCCGGG